RNAcentral lists this ribosomal RNA (567 nucleotides) under uncultured bacterium. Its description in RNAcentral is "partial 16S ribosomal RNA". It matches the Rfam family "Bacterial small subunit ribosomal RNA", at positions 355 to 914 of the family's 1533-position model. The record is from RNAcentral.
UGGGGAAUUUUGGACAAUGGGGGAAACCCUGAUCCAGCCAUCCCGCGUGUGGCGAUGAAGGCCUUCGGGUUGUAAAGCACUUUUGGCAGGAAAGAAACGUCGCGGGUUAAUACCCCGCGGAACUGACGGUACCUGCAGAAUAAGCACCGGCUAACUACGUGCCAGCAGCCGCGGUAAUACGUAGGGUGCAAGCGUUAAUCGGAAUUACUGGGCGUAAAGCGUGCGCAGGCGGUUCGGAAAGAAAGAUGUGAAAUCCCAGAGCUUAACUUUGGGAACUGCAUUUUUAACUACCGGGCUAGAGUGUGUCAGAGGGAGGUGGAAUUCCGCGUGUAGCAGUGAAAUGCGUAGAUAUGCGGAGGAACACCGAUGGCGAAGGCAGCCUCCUGGGAUAACACUGACGCUCAUGCACGAAAGCGUGGGGAGCAAACAGGAUUAGAUACCCUGGUAGUCCACGCCCUAAACGAUGUCAACUAGCUGUUGGGGUCUUCGGACCUUGGUAGCGCAGCUAACGCGUGAAGUUGACCGCCUGGGGAGUACGUCGCAAGAUUAAAACUCAAAUGAAUUGAC